GGCUUACACAUGCAAGUCGAACGCUCCGCAAGGAGAGUGGCAGACGGGUGAGUAACGCGUGGGAAUCUACCUAGUUCUACGGAACAACAGUUGGAAACGACUGCUAAUACCGUAUACGCCCUACGGGGGAAAGAUUUAUCGGAAUUAGAUGAGCCCGCGUAAAAUUAGCUAGUUGGUGGGGUAAUGGCCUACCAAGGCGACGAUCUUUAGCUGGUCUGAGAGGAUGAUCAGCCACACUGGGACUGAGACACGGCCCAAACUCCUACGGGAGGCAGCAGUGGGGAAUAUUGGACAAUGGGCGCAAGCCUGAUCCAGCCAUGCCGCGUGAGUGAUGAAGGCCUUAGGGUUGUAAAGCUCUUUCAGUGGGGAAGAUAAUGACGGUACCCACAGAAGAAGCCCCGGCUAACUUCGUGCCAGCAGCCGCGGUAAUACGAAGGGGGCUAGCGUUGUUCGGAUUUACUGGGCGUAAAGCGCACGUAGGCGGAUUGGUAAGUUAGGGGUGAAAUCCUGGAGCUCAACUCCAGAACUGCCUUUAAUACUGCCAGUCUAGAGUCCGGAAGAGGUAAGUGGAACUCCUAGUGUAGAGGUGGAAUUCGUAGAUAUUAGGAAGAACACCAGUGGCGAAGGCGGCUUACUGGUCCGGUACUGACGCUGAGGUGC
Molecule: ribosomal RNA, 660 nt
Filed under: uncultured bacterium
Lineage: Bacteria
Description: bacterial SSU rRNA
Rfam family: Bacterial small subunit ribosomal RNA
Source: RNAcentral